This is a long non-coding RNA of Acyrthosiphon pisum (pea aphid), 988 nucleotides long. RefSeq lists it as uncharacterized. The record is from RefSeq and is a predicted model, not a curated record. NCBI's taxonomy places the organism in Eukaryota, Metazoa, Arthropoda, Insecta, Hemiptera, Aphididae. The transcript has 5 exons.
AUAUUAUCAGAACCAAGAAUUUUGAAAGAAACCAUAAUAUUAUAUUAUUUAUUUGACGUUUAGGUAUUCACUAUUCUUUAGUAUUUAUAAAUAAGGCUCUGCAAUUUGUCAAGAUUAUUCUAAACCAGAAUCAACUAAUUUACAAUGACGAGCCCACUUCAAGUUCUGUGUGAAGUUAAACGCUUAGUUAGAGAUAAGUCUUAGCACAGACUUGUGUGCAAAAUAUGGCAACAGCUUAUGGACAUAUAUGUAUUUCAAGAAUAAGCUGCUUGAGAAAAUAAGUUUGUGAAUAAUGUCCGAGAAUAUUACAGUUUCUCACAUAUCAGUUCAAAUGGUGUUACAAAACUAGAUUUACCAUGGAAUUUGGUGAAAAAUCACUGCAGACAAAAUGGAUGGGAUGAGAUUAUGUAUUUUAAAGAAGAAUCUGUAUGGCCCGAUAGGGUCAAUUUGUGGACUAUUAGACAAUUAAUACCACAAGUUCCACAUGUUGUAUUACGUGACGAUCCAGAUUUUAAUGGGCAUUGAAACUAUUUUACAUCAGAUUUAUUUUAUUUUCUUAUAAAAACAGAAAAAAUCAUGUUCAAAGAUUAUGGUUUGAACAAAACUGUAAUGAAAACACUUAUUUAAUUUAGAGCAUGGUUUAAUAAUGGAUGUAAUUGCUACACCAAAUAUAUUCUACGGUAUAAUAUUAUAUUGUUUGUAGUAAAUCGAAAGAAAUUAUAGUUCAUCAUGAUGAUUGCAAAAUGUAUUCACUAGAAAUGCAAGAUCGAUGGGAUAAAAUUUGCCACUGUCGAGGAAAAGUAAUAGGAAUCCAACGAACAUCGCGGCCAAGAAGAAAGAGUCAGAUAACAACAGGUGCCAAACGAAUUUAAGCAGGCCGGCCAUCAAAUAGUGAAAUGCUAUCUAAUAAAAGACGUACCAAAAAAAGAUGUUUAGCAGAAAAUAUGAAAAAUUACAUUAACAUAUAAUAGGUAUACAUAUACAGGGU